RNAcentral lists this ribosomal RNA (268 nucleotides) under uncultured bacterium. RNAcentral describes it as "partial 16S ribosomal RNA". It matches the Rfam family "Bacterial small subunit ribosomal RNA", at positions 98 to 354 of the family's 1533-position model. The record is from RNAcentral.
UCGGACGGGGUGGAGUAACGACGUGGGUAACCGUAGCCUCAUACAGGGGAGUAACAAGUUAGUAAAUAGACUGCUAAUAACCGCCAUAAGACGCACGAGAUCGCAAUGAUAAAGUGUGAAAAACUCCGGUGGUAUGAGAUGGACCCGCGUCUGAUUAGCUGGUUGGCGGGGUAACGGCCCACCAAGGCGACGAUCAGUAGCCGACCUGAGAGGGUGACCGGCCACAUUGGGACUGAGACACGGCCCAAACUCCUACGGAAGGCAGCAG